RNAcentral lists this ribosomal RNA (450 nucleotides) under uncultured bacterium. RNAcentral's name for it is "partial 16S ribosomal RNA". It matches the Rfam family "Bacterial small subunit ribosomal RNA", at positions 354 to 796 of the family's 1533-position model. The record is from RNAcentral.
UCUAAGAAUAUUCCGCAAUGGACGAAAGUCUGACGGAGCGACGCCGCGUGGAUGAGGAAGGCCGAAAGGUUGUAAAGUCCUUUUGUCGAUGAAGAAUAAGUGGUGGAGGGAAUGCCAUCAUGAUGACGUUAGUCGGCGAAUAAGCCCCGGCUAAUUACGUGCCAGCAGCCGCGGUAACACGUAAGGGGCAAGCGUUGUUCGGAAUUAUUGGGCGUAAAGGGUACGUAGGCGGUUAUGUAAGCCCGGCGUGAAAUCCUGCAGCUUAACUGUAGAGCUGCGCUGGGAACUGCGUAACUUGAGUCAUGGAAGGGAAGUUAGAAUUCCAGGUGUAGGGGUGAAAUCUGUAGAUAUCUGGAAGAAUACCGGUGGCGAAGGCGAACUUCUGGCCAAUGACUGACGCUGAGGUACGAAAGUGCGGGGAGCAAACAGGAUUAGAAACCCGAGUAGUCC